ACAGGGAUUGCCUCAGUAACGGCGAGUGAAGCGGCAACAGCUCAAAUUUGAAAUCUGGCUCCUUCGGGGUCCGAGUUGUAAUUUGUAGAAGAUGCUUUGAGUGUGGUUCCGGUCUAAGUUCCUUGGAACAGGACGUCAUAGAGGGUGAGAAUCCCGUAUGUGACUGGGUGCCUUCGCUCGUGUAAAGCUCUUUCGACGAGUCGAGUUGUUUGGGAAUGCAGCUCAAAAUGGGUGGUAAAUUUCAUCUAAAGCUAAAUAUUGGCCAGAGACCGAUAGCGCACAAGUAGAGUGAUCGAAAGAUGAAAAGCACUUUGGAAAGAGAGUUAAACAGUACGUGAAAUUGUUGAAAGGGAAGCGCUUGCAACCAGACUUGCGCGCUGUUGAUCAUCCGAGGUUCUCCCCGGUGCACUCGGCAGCGCUCAGGCCAGCAUCGGUUUUGGUGGGCGGAUAAAGGCCUUGGGAACGUAGCUCCUUUCGGGGAGUGUUAUAGCCCUCGGUGCAAUGCGCCCUACCGGGACCGAGGACCGCGCUUCGGCUAGGAUGCUGGCGUAAUGGUUGUAAGCGA
This 565-nucleotide ribosomal RNA is filed under the name uncultured fungus. RNAcentral describes it as "eukaryotic LSU rRNA". It matches the Rfam family "Eukaryotic large subunit ribosomal RNA", at positions 68 to 647 of the family's 3401-position model. Lineage: Eukaryota; Fungi. The record is from RNAcentral.